Ribosomal RNA from Taeniopygia guttata (zebra finch), 118 nucleotides. NCBI's taxonomy places the organism in Eukaryota, Metazoa, Chordata, Aves, Passeriformes, Estrildidae. The record is from Ensembl.
GCCUACGGCCUGCCGCCCUGAGAGCGGCCGGUCUCGCCUGAUCUCGGAAGCUAAGCAGGGUCGGGCCCGGUUAGUACUUGGAUGGGAGACCGCCUGGGAAUACUGGGUGCUGUAGGCU